GAUUAACGCUGGCAGUGUGUAUAAUACAUGCAAGUCGACUGCAUUUAGUUGCAGGGCAGACGGGUGAGUAACACGUUGGUUAACUGCCCCGAACUCAGGGAUAACAUCGAGAAAUCGGUGAUAAUACCGGAUAGUCCCGCAAGGGUAAAGAUUUAUCGGUUCGGGAGGUGCCUGCGUAGUAUCAGCUUGUUGGUUGGGGUAACGGCCCACCAAGGCUAUGACGCUUAGCUGGUCUGAGAGGAUGAUCAGUCACAAUGGAACUGAGACACGGUCCAU
Molecule: ribosomal RNA, 276 nt
Filed under: uncultured bacterium
Lineage: Bacteria
Description: partial 16S ribosomal RNA
Rfam family: Bacterial small subunit ribosomal RNA
Source: RNAcentral